UCUUUUUUUUAAGGACUCUCUCUUUUUCCAGCUUCUCUUUUCUUUCUCUUUGCUCUCUCUCUUUUAUAGGUUACUGCAUCUUUCACAUUCUUCAUUGUUAUUUUUUUAAUUUUUCUUCAUUCUCUCAUUUAUUUACAUAUCAUCUCUUUAUCUUUAUCAAUGUAUUGCAUCUUUGUGAUUCUUUUAAUUUUUAUUUUUUUUAGGUGGUAGAUCUACUUCAAAAUGAAAACUGAAUAUUAAAAGUGAUAUAAAUCUAUUGAAACAAAGAGGAACACAAUACUGAAACAAUAGCAUUGACAAUAUUUGUGAAAAUAUAAAUUAUGAACAAGAGAGAAAGAAAAAGUACCAGAAGAUGGUGUGUGUAUGAACAAGGAGGACCCCACACACACCAUGUAUUGUUUUUUCUUUCUUCUUUCAAAUCAAAUCUCCUCCUAAAUCAACAAAUUAAUUAAUUAAAUAAUUAAUCAGUCUUUUAUUUAUUUAGUACUACUGUUCUUAAAAUUUAAAUUUGACUUUAAAUUUGACUGUAUAUGAAGUAAGACAAUUACGAAACAAUUUUAUGGAAUAUAUAUAUAUAUAUAUAUAUAUAUAUAUAUAUAUAUUCCAAAAAAGCAUUAUUAUUGAAUUAAGAUUUCUUAUUGUAAACUUAUUAUUGUAAAUAACAUAAUUUAUUUGGUAUGAUAUAUUUAACAUUUGAAUUUAAAAAUAAAAAUUUUGAAAGCUAUAUAAUUUAUCAGACAUGACAUAAAGCUUUGCAUAUAAAGUUGUAAUGAGAAAAAAAUUGUUGUAAAUCAUUCAAUAUGACUUUUGAUUGAUACUCUUACAACAUUCAAUAUUUUUAUCUAUGAAAUCACUCAGUUUGCUUUUGGUAUAAUCUCAUAAAUGCUUUAUUUUCAAUCAUGAUUAUGUUUCCCAUGUUUUGCCCUGUUUGAAAUAUAGUAGCUGUGAAAGUCUAAAACAUGCAUUUAUAAAUUGCAGUAACCAAUGAACAUUGCACCUACCAAAGACAUUGGGUCUGUUUGGUAAAAAUAGCGGUUGACUGAUAAGCUAGCUUAUAGCUUAUGACUGAUGGCUGAUGACUGAUGACUUAUAGCUUAUAGCGGAUGGUUGAGACUGAUAGCUUAUAAGCUCACUGAAGUGUUUGGUAAAAUUAGCGGUUCAAUUAACUUAUAAAUGUAAAAUGACAUAAAAGAUAUUUAAUAUAUAAUUAUUUUAUUUUAAAUUAAAAUAAAUUAUAAAGGUUAAAAACGGAUUUUAAUUAAAAUAAUAAGGAUAAAAAAGGAAGAAAAAAUAAUAAGCUAUAAGACAUAAGUUAAAACGCUAUUUGAAAUAGCGUCUGAAAAAUAAGCUAUAAGCUAGUAAAAUAAGCUAUAAGCUC
Molecule: long non-coding RNA, 1378 nt
Organism: Vicia villosa (hairy vetch)
Lineage: Eukaryota; Viridiplantae; Streptophyta; Magnoliopsida; Fabales; Fabaceae
Exons: 3
Source: RefSeq, a predicted model, not a curated record